CUGUAAAGAAAACUGCAAGAGCUCUCGGCGAAGCACUAUUCAAUGCAGAACUUGGUAAACCAAUUGGACAGAUCACCAUGGAAAGUCCAGUAAAGGUAAUAGAUCAGAUGAUUCGAGACCCAAAUGGAGAAAUGGAUGGGUGCUUGUGACUGCAUUAUAACCAAAGCUGGACUUGGAACAAUUGCGGAGGCCUUGAUAAGGGGCCUUCCAAUCAUGAAGCAAUGGUUAG
Papaver somniferum (opium poppy) is the source of this 229-nucleotide long non-coding RNA. RefSeq lists it as uncharacterized. The transcript has 3 exons. Lineage: Eukaryota; Viridiplantae; Streptophyta; Magnoliopsida; Ranunculales; Papaveraceae. The record is from RefSeq and is a predicted model, not a curated record.